UGACUAUUAUGACUCAGAUAUAGCCUGGAUGGAAUUGGUCAGUACCCUUAUUUACGUUCCUAAAAAUGUUCAUAGUUGUAUGUAGCAGUUGCUUCAGUAUAUGAGCCCCCUUCUGUGGGAACUGGACAUUACUCUUCGUCUUCCCAAAAGACAAUUCUACAAUUUUGGGGUCCCUCCUAUGAAAAAUGAAUGCAUUAAGCCAUUGACACAUGUUUUAUUGCAAUUUCUGGUGUGUGCAGCCACCUUUUCUCAAGCAUAGUUGCAUUCUCAACUGUACCUGUUAUUGUGAAAUUCCAAGAAACUCUGCGUAUUGAAAUGUCUAAAAGUUUAACAAGAAAUGACUGGAAACAAUGUGUAGUAGAGAACUAAAAUGUAUUCUGAUCUGAUAGACAAAUAUUGUAAAUCAGAGUGCUCGUAUUACCGUUGUUUGAAGCUGCAGUAAAUGUGCUUCCUUCUCAUUUUCAAAUUUUAUUGAUUCUUUUAUUUUAUUUGUUCCCAAAAUGAUGUAAAUUGAGGUUUUAUAGGAGGAUUUAAUAUCAGAACAGGUAAUAGAAAUUUGGGUCUUAAACAAAGCUAAAUGGAGGAAAAUGAAACUUGCAGCCAACUCCAGUAAGUUUGAGAUUAAUGCUUUGUUCAGCUGAGUUGAGUUUUAUUAUGUUUCUUGGGGUCCCUCAUGUUUUUUUAAUUCUUUAAUAACAUUUGAUUAUCAAAUAAGAGAGCAUUACAAUCCUCCACUAAUUUGUAUUAUAUUAGGCUUGCAUCUUUAUGGAGUUUUGUUAUACUCGAUUUGUUUAACCUUUAAUGAAAUAAAUGAAAAAUUAAAGAGUUUUUGCAAGACAAAUUUUAAAUUAAUAAUAAGUAGGUUCAGAAAGAUUUUUUUUCUUAAUAUUAAACCUUUUGGGUUUACCUUUUAUGUUACCCCAUCAGGUGCUUAAGAUUUUAGCGUUCCCAUUAAAGUUUGAUGAGCAUUUGAUCUUUUUUUAUGGUGCAGGACUCUAAGCUGGAUGUAACUAUAGGUCCAUACGAGACAUAU
This 1033-nucleotide unclassified non-coding RNA is filed under the name Hevea brasiliensis (rubber tree). Lineage: Eukaryota; Viridiplantae; Streptophyta; Magnoliopsida; Malpighiales; Euphorbiaceae. The record is from RNAcentral.